UGAACGCUGGCGGCAGGCCUAACACAUGCAAGUCGAGCGAGAAAGGCCUUCGGGCUGAGUACAGCGGCGGACGGGUGAGUAACGCGUAGGAAUCUACCUGGUAGUGGGGGACAACAUGGUGAAAACCAUGCUAAUACCGCAUACGCCCUACGGGGGAAAGCGGGGGACCUUCGGGCCUCGCGCUAUCGGAUGAGCCUGCGUUGGAUUAGCUUGUUGGUGAGGUAAAAGCUCACCAAGGCGACGAUCCAUAGCUGGUCUGAGAGGAUGAUCAGCCACACUGGAACUGAGACACGGUCCAGACUCCUACGGGAGGCAGCAGUGGGGAAUAUUGCGCAAUGGGCGAAAGCCUGACGCAGCCAUGCCGCGUGUGUGAAGAAGGCCUUAGGGUUGUAAAGCACUUUCAAUUGGGAAGAAAGGUUGUACGUUAAUAGCGUGCAGCUGUGACAUUACCUUUAGAAGAAGCACCGGCUAACUCC
This 476-nucleotide ribosomal RNA is filed under the name uncultured bacterium. RNAcentral describes it as "bacterial SSU rRNA". It matches the Rfam family "Bacterial small subunit ribosomal RNA", at positions 30 to 504 of the family's 1533-position model. The record is from RNAcentral.